AUGAAUUAUCAUGAGAAAGUAUAAAGUUCUGUUCAAUUCAUGUAGGCUCAGGUAGUUGCUGGUCGAUGUGUUGUAAUUGUUGGAGAGAGAGAGCGAGAGAGAGAGAGAGAGAGAGGACGAUCAAACAGUGACAGCUAUUGUCUUCCAAACCUUCCUUUACUUUCUGGAUCCGUCGUUUCGUUGUGGCCAUUCAGAGAUCCUGGAUCUUUUCAGAAAGAUCUGAGCACAGAAGCGCCGACUUCUCGCAGAUGAAGCAACGCUUAUCCUCACUGCAAUGUUCAAAGUGAGGGUACCAUCCACAUUCAAUGCAUUCGAAGACUCCAGCCUUCAUUUGGAACACGAUAUUCGAGGCCACUCUCCUAUCAAGAAGGG
Molecule: long non-coding RNA, 372 nt
Organism: Hypanus sabinus (Atlantic stingray)
Lineage: Eukaryota; Metazoa; Chordata; Chondrichthyes; Myliobatiformes; Dasyatidae
Exons: 2
Source: RefSeq, a predicted model, not a curated record